Molecule: long non-coding RNA, 614 nt
Organism: Solanum pennellii
Lineage: Eukaryota; Viridiplantae; Streptophyta; Magnoliopsida; Solanales; Solanaceae
Exons: 3
Source: RefSeq, a predicted model, not a curated record
UAUUAGGUCUUUAGGACCUAAAACUACCCAUUUGAACCCCAUUCUUCUAAUUUCCCUAAACCUAGCCAAAUUCAUUCUCCCAAAUUUCCUAAACAUAAGGAAGAACAAGAUGAACUAGGGUUAAAUUCAAGUCGCCAAUUCACCAUCUUUCUUGGGCUUUUGUCUAGAAAGUUAUGUGUUCAUAUUCAAACAUGGAAUACAUUCUUCCAUGGGGUGCGCAAAGGUUCUAAUUUCUAAAUCUCAAAUUCAUUUUCAUAGGCUUAGCAUGGUGAUGGAUUUGAAGUGGAGGCUCAAAUAGGGUGGUCUCUAGUAUCAACUUCUACUCUCAACUAUCUGCUCUCAUAGGGUUGUCUUAAGUGACCUAGCUAGUGGAUCCACUUUAGCAAAUGAUGAUAUGUACGGAUUCUACCUUGGCAACUAGAUUCCCCAUCUUUCAAUAUGAGGUAUACAACACAGUUUGAUAGUUCAAAUACACCACAUCUACCAAUAUAUCAAGUGCAUCCGAUAUGAAUUCACUAUGGAAAGUUCAAAGGGAAACCUACUUAUCAGCAUGUAAUUAAUCUUUAUUGGUAUCACACAUUUUUUUAAUAUUCUUUUUUCUUAUAAUCAUUCCC